RNAcentral lists this ribosomal RNA (505 nucleotides) under uncultured bacterium. RNAcentral's name for it is "partial 16S ribosomal RNA". It matches the Rfam family "Bacterial small subunit ribosomal RNA", at positions 28 to 507 of the family's 1533-position model. The record is from RNAcentral.
GACGAACGCUGGCGGCGUGCCUAAUACAUGCAAGUAGAACGCACAGUUUAUACCGUAGCUUGCUACACCAUAGACUGUGAGUUGCGAACGGGUGAGUAACGCGUAGGUAACCUGCCUGGUAGCGGGGGAUAACUAUUGGAAACGAUAGCUAAUACCGCAUAAUAUUGAUUAUUGCAUGAUAAUUGUUUGAAAGAUGCUAUUGCAUCACUACCAGAUGGACCUGCGUUGUAUUAGCUAGUAGGUGAGGUAACGGCUCACCUAGGCGACGAUACAUAGCCGACCUGAGAGGGUGAUCGGCCACCCUGGGACUGAGACACGGCCCAGACUCCUACGGGAGGCAGCAGUAGGGAAUCUUCGGCAAUGGACGAAAGUCUGACCGAGCAACGCCGCGUGAGUGAAGAAGGUUUUCGGAUCGUAAAGCUCUGUUGUAAGAGAAGAACGGGUGUGAGAGUGGAAAGUUCACACUGUGACGGUAUCUUACCAGAAAGGGACGGCUAACUACGUG